This 7302-nucleotide long non-coding RNA is filed under the name Lactuca sativa (garden lettuce). RNAcentral's name for it is "long non-coding RNA (LSAT_LNC000741)". The record is from RNAcentral. Lineage: Eukaryota; Viridiplantae; Streptophyta; Magnoliopsida; Asterales; Asteraceae.
UAUGGACUCUUAUAUAUAUAUAUAUGGAAUGGGCGAAGUUGAUUUAGGUUGGGCUAAGCUUUCAUGGAUAGUGCAUGGAGUGUUUAACCCAUGGAUCCUAGGAAAUGAAAGGUCAUGGGUAUUAGGGUUUAACCCUAAUCCUCCACACUAUAUAAAGAUGUAAUUGGUUGGUGAAAUUGGCACUAGUGUGGUACACUAAGAAGGGCUAGCCAAUUUCACUAGAGAGAACCAAGUAUCCAUAUUCUCUAAAGUCUUCCAAGGUGUUUUGGUGAUUUGUGAUUCCAUUUGAGGCUUCCACACUAUUGGGGCUAAGCUCUUAAAGCUUGAAGACAUCAAGCUACAUCAAGAGGUAUGUAUUUUAUCUUGCUAUAGUCAUUGUUUUUGUAUGCUUGAUUAGGAUAAUACCUUGGAUGUUCUUAUUUGCAUGUAUAAUAGAGAAAACAUAGAUCCAAGGUAUUUAGGGUUGCAUGUACACUUAGGAAGUGUUAGAAUGCUCAAAACCCAACAGUGGUAUCAGAGCCACGGGUUGUUUUCUGUUAUAUUGAUGCAAAUAUUUUAUUUUCAAAGUUGAAAAAAAAAAAAAAAAAAAACAUGAAGUUUGUCAAAUUUUAAGAUAAUUACUUGUUCUUGUGAAAAACUAAUUAUUUGUAAAAUUUGAAUAAUUUGCUUUAUGAGUUGAAUUAGGUCAAAUUUAAUAAAAGAUAAAAUAAUAUGAUUAUUUUAUUAGUUUUAAAAGUUUGAUCUAAAGAGUUUUAUUUUUUGAAACCUCCAUAAGUUAUGGAUAUGAAAAGGUUUUAAAAAAAAAAUUGAUUCAAAGUUUUUUUGGAGUUACAAAAUUUGGUGUUAAUGUUUUAAAGGAUUCCAUAACUUAAGAAUAAGUUAUGGAUCACCAAAAGUUUUUUGUGUUACCUUGUUUUAUGAGUGAAUUUAGAUUAAUGAAUAAAAUUAUGUGAUAGUUGGUUUUAAUCCAAAUUAAUCUAAGAAUUGAUUCUAAAAUGUGUUUUUGUAACUUGUCCUCAAGUUAUAUGAAAAGUCACAUUUAAGAAUCAUAAAACUCAUAAAAAUUGGCAAAGGUUACAAAAAUGAAGAGUCUAGUUCUAAUUAAAUGGUUUUAUGACUCCAUAACUUGUCCUCAAGUUAUGGAGGACCAAGAGUCUCUUCAUUUAAUAAAAUAAAAUAAAAAAAAAAAAAGUGUAACCUUAAUUAAUUCCAUAAGUUAUAAAAUAAAGAAAAGUUAAUUCUUUUAUUAGUUUAAAGUCUUCCAUAACUUGUCCUCAAGUUAUGGAACUUGAAGAGUUUUUGGAUUAAAACUACUUUAAACACAUAAGUUAUGGAAUUAAUUAGUUUUGAAUAGUUUCAAAACUUGCCCUCAAGUUUUGGAAUUUGUAAAGUUUUCACUUAUGAAUACUUUAAUUCCAAGUUAGCCCUUAGAAUUUUAAAAGUUAAAAUUCAACCCUUAUACUUUAUAAUAUUAUAAGUUAAUAAUAUAUAUAUGUAUAAGAGUAAAGUCAGUCUUACCGCUAGUACGCCUCAUUCACGAAGCCGGUCUAUAAGGUGGGUAUAAGGUUGUUGCCUAUAAAAUGGCAACUUAAUGGGUGUCCACUCUCACCCACCGCUUGCUUGACUGGUGGAGGGUCGUUAGCCGAACGGGUUUGACAGGACUAGAAUUCUCCCUUCAUUAAAAGUAUUAAUGAUAAUACUAAGUAACUAAACUCUUAAUAAUACCCAAUCUUAGUUACUUAGGAAAAAUGUGAAUAAGGUGCUAAUCCAUGAAAUUACACUUUACACUUUGUCUAAGUCGUUAGUGGAGCGUGUGUGGUUAACCGGCACACUAACUUGGACUUAACAAGGUAGGUAAAGGGUGACUUAAUAUUUAUCAUAGUAUCGAUGGAGCGUGUGUGGUUAACCGGCACAUCGAUUGAGGGGUAAUUUAUUAAGGGUACCAAGUGAUUUGCAUGGUUACUUCACACCUUGUUUUGUGAUCCUCGGCAUCCCAGUCACAAAACCUGAAGGGCACACUCGAGAUUGAAACAUGCCUUUGAACAGUUCAAUGAAUCUCAAAGAUCUAGGAGUUUCAAAACCAAUUAAAACCUAAUAAUACAUUUCGUUUAUCUUGGUGGAAAUUGGUGAAUCGUCAUUCACCUACCUUCAAAUAUUUUAUAGCUUGGAUUACGGCAUACCUCUUCUAAGUUAUAAAAUAGUUUGUUGGGUCCUAGCCUUAAUAUUUCAUAUUGGGUGUCAUAUUAAGGACUUUAAAUCAACUAUCUUGAAUAUCUCCCAAAAGAUGUCUGGUUUAGACACCUAUGAUCUUCCCAAAUCUCUUGAAACAAGGUUUCCUAAUGAAGAUGAUGUCCCAUGGAUAUCAUACUUCUUUCUCCUCCUCCAAUUAUUCUCCCUAACCCACAAGUUCUUGAAAAGUUUAAGGUCACUCAAGCCCUAUUGGCAAGGCAAGGUCUAGGUGUGAUCACAUCUUGGAGAUGUAGUCACAUAUUGACAAGCCGGGAGAGUUGGGUGUCAAAGUCUUGAGAAAGUUGGUGGUUCAAUCACUUUCUAAGUCACAUAGUGAGUUCCUUUGGGACACCUAUGAAACAGACUAUGACAAGACCCUUAAUGAUCUUAUCUAUUUGCUAAGAUCAACUUCCUAAAACUUUAUGGACAUUGACAAUGAUGACAUUGGAUAUCCAGUAAAGCAUUCUCUUCCCAAUGGAAAGGGAUCGGCCAUAGUCAACUCGGUUGACCAAAUGGUAAAGAGAAAAGCUAAGUCUGUGAUAGUCUCGUGUACCAUUAUCAAAGGGUCCAUAUGUUUAUAUUGCCAAAGGAAGGGGCAUUGGUUGCGAAGCUGCCAAAUUUACCUAAGGAGGUUAAAGUCAAUAAGUUUGACUCUACUUCAGGUAAAGUCCACUAUCUAACUCUGUUAAGUUUUUAUUCUGAGAUUCUUGAUACAUGAUGUGACUAGUUCACAUGGUGAUGUUCUAAGAAUCAAAGAAAAGUGAAGAAACUUAAAGAAAGAAUAUGCUGAAUCUGAUGGCGUAGAUGGAUUUCUAUCGCAUAGUUUGAAGAUCGGAUUCUUGAGCAACUUCUUAGGAGUUAUGAGAUAUUGCUUAGGAAUAGAUAACAACAAGUUUUCAUAUGGAUUGUAAGGAUAAGUUUUUCCGCAAAGUUUUAAAAUAAAAGAAAAAUUUUUUGAUUUUAUUUAUUUUAAAAUAUCCUUACAAUGGCUUUUGAGGAAAAAUUGUUGCUUAUAUGAUUCCAUUAAGAGCAAGAGUGGAAAUAUGAAAUUGAUUCUUUCAUUUGUGGUAAUGUCUAGAUUUACCAAAUAAGGAAAGAUUCUCAUCACCCAAGUUUCAAUUGGACCGGAACUUGGAAUCAUGCAAGUUGUAUAGCAUGAUGAAUGAGAACUUUCAAGUUUUGGAAAAUUAAGACUAAUUACUCGGCCACAUGGAUGUGUGAGUCAAGUAAAGGACUAAGGGAUCGAGUACACAUUCUUGUGCACUGAUUAAGUCCACCACAAAAGAUUGAUAAGACUAUUCGUCAUAGUUUACUAAAGCUCAGUAAAUAUGAUUAUACUUACAAGCUUAAGUGUAACUCUGAGACAUUGGAAAAGGUUCCAAUGUAUGGCAGGGCGAAUAAGAAGAAUCAAAUUAGGCAGAAGGAUAAAAGUUUCUCAAAUCUGAAAAGAUGGGAGAGUACUUUAGUAUCAGUUUUGUGAUCAUCUUAAUGAUUAAGAAACCAUAUCAAAAUUAGUUCUCUAAGGAAAUCUUAGUGCAUUCUUAUGACUAAGAAGAGGAACUUGAAUUGUUGAAAUGGUUAAAUCAAGAAGAUGAGUCAUACUUCGUUCCAAUACAAGUCUUAGAGUCAUACUCCAAGAUUGUCAUUUGAGUGACAUGUCUUAAAGAAGGUUUAAAACACUUGUCAAAUGUAAGAGUAAAAGUUUUCUACUCUUGUACAUUUGAAAUUGGUAAGUUGUGAUGUUUUGGAUAAAACAAAGACCAACUUAGGCCAAUUGGGUAAAGUGUUUUUCUUGAUUAGAAUCCGCACUAUCUCUUGGAUGUUUGACAAGGGAGUCUUAUAUGUCAAGAGGACAGUGGGAGUCUUAAAGGUCUUGAAAGUCUCAAGAACUAAUCAAGAAUAAAACCUGAAGUUCUUCACUAGCACACGACUUGAGGUUUAUAACCUAUCGUGUUGACAUAUCUGUGCCCAUUCCAGUUAAAGUUGGCUUUGCAUAUGAGUUCUUAGAGUUCUCAAUUUGUUGCACAACAACUUGGAAGCAAUGGCAGGCCCUUGAGCUGCCAGGUGGCAAGAAAUUAAGAUUGAGUUCAGUCCAUAUGAGUUUGGAUUUGUCAUUAUCCUUGUCUUGUGACUAUGGUUUUGACAAUUCACAUGGAUAAGAACACAUACACCAUUAAAUCUAAGUGUCAUAAGGUUUCUCUCCGAUUCAUGAAAAUGAUGGUGAGGAAACACUUUCACUAAGUAGAUUUUAGCUAGAUAGCAAUUGUGAUAUUUGCAUUCUCAAAGUCGUUAGUGGAGCGCGUGUGGUUAACCGGCACACUAACCUGGACUUGUGAGAAGUGGCAAAAAGGUCUAACCAUUAUGAUUACGGCAUACCUCUUCAUAAUUGUUUAGACACACAAGUGUGCUAUCUAAGGGAAGGUGUAUGAUUUUGAUAAAGUUUUAUCAAAACAAUCUAGCAUCAGAAAUCUGAACUUUGGUAAGAAAGUCAAUGAAGUAUUGAUUUCUAGAAGUCCAGCUGAUUUCUGAGUACAUGUCAAAGCUAGUGGGAGCAUAAGUGUUAUGCUAAUAAUCAUCAUGUUAGUGGGAGCAUGAUAAUUAUGAUAAGUAUUGCAAGUUAGCAAUGUUAAUUAUAGAAAACAAAAGUUUCAAUUGGGAAAAAGUUGUUUUGCUAUAAUUAAGGGAGAGGAAAUUAUGCUUCAUCUCAAAUCUAUAAGCUUAGAUCGUGAGGUUUUAAUCAUUUAGUCAAGGAUAUAUAUGAAUUUCAUGUUGGAAUGGCUCAACAUAAGGAAAUUCUGUAUAUGGGUCCAUUAUUUGCGUUCUAAAAUUCGAUUAUGAUUACGGCAUCCCUUUUCAUAAUCUGAAUUAUGAGAACUUGGCAAAUUGAAAUGGAAAUGUUAUAGCAAAAGACUGGUUUAGUCUUUAUGUGAGACAUCAUGAAUCGUGUCCCAUAUGCUUCGGAUAUAGGAUCGAUUACAUGUGCUAUAUUCAUCCGUUCUAAAAUUUUCCAAAUGCCUGGGGCAUUAAGAAGGGAAAAGGUUUAGAACUGGAUAUGACUAAAAGGAUUAAACAAUUGUCGAGGACAAUCUAAGGUUUACCAAAGAUUGGUUGCUCAAGGACAGUUGGAAGUAUAGUGAUAAUUCUGGAAGGACCAUAUUGACAUAAUCUGUAAGGAGGCAACUCUUGUUCAGAAGUGAUAGUCAAAAUGGAAUCUGGAAAUGUUUCAAAGUUAGAAUUUUCAAUCUGUUUAAGAUUAGGAAACUUAAUGCAAGAAGGAUGUUUCCAAGGAGCUGAUCUCCUUUGGAAUACUCUGUAAUGAUUGUUGUCAAGUCUUUCUGACUUUGUGCAUAAUCAUUACAAGAGGAUCAAUGCAUAUAAGUUUAGAAUCUAACAGAUUUCAGUAAAUGGCAUGAAUUUGGAAUUCUUGCAUUUGCAGUAAGGAUUUGGGAGUGUGAAAAGAGAAUCAUUGAAGUUAUGUUCAAUUGAUCUAGUUCACAAAGUAAAGAUCAUAGACAAACAUAGUAUGCAUACUUGGUGUGUGGCAUGACUAGUGUUUAAGAAAACAUAGUGUACAUGCUUGGAGCAUGGGACAACUAUUGUUUUAAAUUCAAGAAUAAAGUUGAUAGCUGAAACAGUAUACAAUGAAUAAUGUGUAAUCAUAUGGUGAUAAAUAAAAGGUGUUUUAUUUAUGUUCAAAGGGUUGAUACCAUAUUGGAUUCAAUUAUUAUUGUGUUUCACUUUGCAUGUUUUGACUUCCCGAAUAAACUAGGUUAUUCUUCCGGAAUGACUAAGUUAUUCAAACCAUCCACAGUCGGUCAUAUGUUGGAAGUAGAUAUGAAUUAAGACUGUCAUGGGUUGGCUUGUAGAGGUCUAAGGUGUUGGACAAAGGGCUACAACACUCAUGAGUGCUCAUAAGUUCUGAGUAUUGGAUUCAACCCGCGCUCAUUGGAAUCACUUCAUGGAUUUUAUCACGAGUGAUCAUGAGACGAUAAUAUCUUAUAUUCUUCAAACCUAGAGAUAUGAGUUGUUACUAUGAGUUGAUAGUACAUUGAUUGCACGAAAACGCAUUUGGUAACUCGGUGCUAUAAAACGUGCCUUUGUGUAUGAUUCAACAAGUAGUAGAACAAGCCAUAUGAGUCGAAGUUUAUCCAUUCCUUUUACCUUCGGGAUAAAAGCGAUAUCUGUGGGCCCCUCGAUGAUUUGAUGAUGACAAAUGGAAGUGCUCGGCCGGGCCAGGACUGAUUUGAUUUGUUCAAUUAGUCAGUCGUCAUAAAUCGGAAAUCGGGAAACAACAAAUGGACAGAGAGAAUGAUUAUAAUCCAUGUCUCAGUCCAUAUGAUAUCUAGAAUGGAGGAUUAUAUGAUCCCUUAUCUAAUGGACAAGUUCGUUGACAAGAUCAAAGUUCGACAGCGGCUUUAAGAGCUACGAUAGCCAGUUAGGCUUGAAGUCAUACACAAUAAUAGUUUUAGACUUAUCCAUGUGGGAGACUGUUGGAUUAAUGUCUAAGUCCAAAACUAUAUUUGGUAUGUACUUGACCCAACCCGGCAUGGUCCAUUUGGGUUGCACUUCACCGACACAAUUUAUAUGGAUAAUCUUUUGAGAAUAGUAUGUUUAUGAUUAAUAUUAAUAUAUUAUAAGUUCUAAUAUAUUAAUAUGGAAUCAUAUUAUUUAAUUAGUAUUGAUCAAGAAUUAAUUUAGAAUUAAUUAAGUGAUCAAAAUGAACUAAUUAAAUAUGGACUCUUAUAUAUAUAUGGAAUGGGCGAAGUUUAUUUAGGUUGGGCUAAGCUUUCAUGGAUAGUUCAUGGAGUGUUUAACCCAUGGAUCCUAGGAAAUGAAAGGUCAUGGGUAUUAGGGUUUUACCCUAAUCCUCCACACUAUAUAAAGAUGUCAUUGGUUGGUGAAAUUGGCACUAGUGUGGUACACUAAGAAGGGCUAGCCAAUUUCACUAGAGAGAACCAAGUAUCCAUAUUCUCUAAAGUCUUCCAAGGUGUUUUGGUGAUUUGUGAUUCCAUUUGAGGCUUCCACACUAUUGGGGCUAAGCUCUUAAAGCUUGAAGACAUCAAGCUACAUCAA